RNAcentral lists this ribosomal RNA (253 nucleotides) under uncultured bacterium. RNAcentral describes it as "partial 16S ribosomal RNA". It matches the Rfam family "Bacterial small subunit ribosomal RNA", at positions 524 to 776 of the family's 1533-position model. The record is from RNAcentral.
GACGAACCGUGCGAACGUUGUUCGGAAUCACUGGGCUUAAAGGGCGCGUAGGCGGGUGGUCAAGUCAGGGGUGAAAUCCUCCAGCUUAACUGGAGAACAGCUUUUGAUACUGGCCAUCUUGAGGGAGGUAGGUGCAUGUGGAACUUCCGGUGGAGCGGUGAAAUGCGUAGAUAUCGGAAGGAACGCCGGUGGCGAAAGCGACGUGCUGGACCUUUUCUGACGCUGAGGCGCGAAAGCGUGGGGAGCAAACAGG